CAACACUACCAAUCGAGGACCUGGCCUCAGUUCACUCCAGACUAUUUGCGUAGCCCUCCGUUUUUUUCAAAUGGUAGUUUUAUCUAGGCUAUAAUGCUGGAGAUGCUGAGCACAUCACAGUCGUUUCAGAUGACCCAUCCAAGAUUUGUAUCGGCCUCCUAUCAUACAAAGAGCAAUAUUGUCUUGAGUACUAUGCCGAGAGGCAUUUACAACAUAAAGUAUAAAAUAGUCCUAACGGACUUGCAUCCACUGGAGAAUGUUCGAUCGUAGCCGGCGGCUUCAUUACAAGCACUGAUCCAUCUUGAUCUGUGAAGUUGAUGAAUUGUCACUUUUAGUGUGGGGUAUGGCCCAUGACUCUCUGAGGUGAUCCAGUCUGCCGACUGUCGGCCUUUUCACGAUUGGCUUAAAAAAAUGGCUUAUUUAAAUUUAUACCAAUACGAUGGUGGGAAAAGCUUACCAGUUUGUAUGUUUUUUAUACUUGAUCCUCUGACCGCUUGGAAGCAAUCGGAGUACAUUUGUUUUAGAAGAAAGGGGUUAUGUGGUAGGAUCUUUAAGAAUGCUUAACUGGGAUAUUUAUAUAUUCAUGGCUCAAAUAUUAAGGAUCAUGCUUUUGACGUGUAACUAACGCAUUUACGCGGUCAGCGAUCCGCUGCCAGGCUUUGGUUCUCCGGGUUCCAGAGGUUUUAGCGUUCCCUUUUCUUGUGAUAAUGUCCUUCUCCUCGUCAUAGCUCUCCAGGAGAACCUGGAGUUCCAUUUCAUUGAAAUAAGCGGCCCGUUUCGCCAUAUCGAUCAGGGUUUCCAUGAUCCAUACAUCACGUCUUUUUAAGUUUGGCGUGGACG
Long non-coding RNA from Gadus macrocephalus (Pacific cod), 840 nucleotides. RefSeq lists it as uncharacterized. The transcript is spliced from 3 exons. NCBI's taxonomy places the organism in Eukaryota, Metazoa, Chordata, Actinopteri, Gadiformes, Gadidae. The record is from RefSeq and is a predicted model, not a curated record.